Molecule: long non-coding RNA, 2124 nt
Filed under: Marmota monax (woodchuck)
Lineage: Eukaryota; Metazoa; Chordata; Mammalia; Rodentia; Sciuridae
Source: RNAcentral
UGCCAGGAGUUGCAUGGUCUGAGUGCACCGUGAUUUAUUCAUCCAGUGAUAACCAGUGAGUCUUAGAGCUCAACUCUCCUUUCCGUCAGAGGAGGCUCCUCCAUGGAUCUCCCCACACAGCCCUUGGUUUCCUGGGGUACAGAGGCUCUGGUGACUCCCACUGCCUGGCGUUUCGUCUUCACUCCUGCCUCAUUUGAAUGGCUGGCGAUUCAAUCAAGACUCAGGCACGUUUCCAGCUGUGCCCGUGUCCAGGCUGGUGAGUCGUACAGCAGCUCAGGAGGAUGCCCGGCAGCUCCAGGGCCAGGCAGGCGUGAGGGCUCCUCAAGGCUCCUCCUGGGCCCUUUUGGCUUCCAGGCUACGUGACUGCAUCUACUCCUCAGCUUCUAUCUGUCUGGGAGUUGAAAAACAGAUGUUUCCUGGACACCUUCCCUCUGCCCUGCACAGGUCUGGGCACUUGGAAGCACCAUGUUCAAAACUUUCCAUCCUAGUCUUCCCUAAAAAAGAGCCAGACACUCGGCUUCUCACUGCUGUUCCUUUGGCCAGGUGAAUUCUCUCUGAAUCAUCCUCCCUCCUUGUUUUCUAAAUGAGAGGUCUGCCCUCCAGAAACCCUCCUAUCACCCAGACUGAGUUGGGUACCUCUGUUCUCUGAUGGGUCUGUCCCUCCCUCUGCUGUUGCUCUUGCUUUGUGUUGUGACAUUGCCCGGCUGUCCUUUCUCUGAAAUCCCCAAGGGAAAUCACUUGCAUUACUCAGUUUUAUUCCCUGGGCUUUGGUCACAGGAGGGGAUGCCUAGAACAUUCUGUGCACACAGGACGGAUGGGUGGAUGGAUGGAUGGACGGAUGAGGAGGUGAGGACCUGUUAGGUCCAAGAGAUUCCUGCUCCUCUUGACUCACUGCCAGGAGGCUGGAGAAAGUGGGGGGGCUGCUUCCAUCAGUGAGCUGCUCCAGGGUGCCUUAGCUAGAGGGGAAUCAGGACGGGUUCACCUACAUGUGGCUGAGAUGGGUUCUCCCCCUGAGUUCAUCUAACUUGAAAACUGGCUUCUCGGUCUUUCUCUAAUGAUGGUGAUGAUACAAUAGCACAACACUAGCUGCCUAUGACAUAAGGAGCAUGACCCCUGUGCCAGAUGCCAAGUUUGAUCUGUUCCCUGCAGGUUGGUGGAACCCUCGGGGUACACCUAGGAGAUCCAUGCAAUGUGACACUGCAGCCUCCCAUAAACACGGGAGGAUUCUGGGGGACCUCAGAACCUGCCCCAAUGUCACUCAGAUACUAGGUGGCAGGAGCAUGCUCCAAUCCCAAGCAGCGUCACCCAGAGUGGCCCUCCCAACUGCACGUGAAGGGGAAGAGGGGAGGGAGGAGAGCCUGAGAUUCUCGAUAUCCAGUGCAGAGCAUUUCCCUCCACACCAGUCUCCUGAAGUCCCUAGAGUGGUUUUCAUUUUCUCAUCACCCAAAGAAGAAGGAGGUGCUGAAGAGGCUUCCCACUGCCCAGAGAGUGACCAGAACCCUGGCGGAGGCCAGCUCUCCUGCCUGCUUUCCAAAUGGGGUGGGCAGCAAGAGAGAUCCGCGGUGGCAGCACCAAGCAGCUGAUAUGCCACUCGGGUCCCCAGGGACAGACUUCUUAAGUCCUGAGACUUUGACUUUUCGAUUCUCGAUGCAAAUGCUUCUCCCACUGAUUUGUAACCACAUCCCUCUCGGAUUGAAUGGAUUGACAGGCUGUCUCGUUUCCCAGUAUCUUCUGGAUCCCCAAGCUGAGAACACAGAGACUUAUCCCCUUCUGGAGAGAUUCUCAUUUAAAAUGCAGAAAGUUCAUCCAUAUGCAAAUAUGAAAGCUGAGCUAUUUACCUCCAGGAGCACAGGGGCUCCCGGAGGCCCAGGAGAUUUCCAGGGAGUCAGGUGCUCUGAAGCCCCCAGAGUCCUGGCCAAAGACCAUCUCCUGAAUCUGAGAGCCCUUGGGUCUCUGCAGACCCUGAACCACGGCCCUCUCUGCCUGCCUUUCACAUCCUGGGUAAUAAAAUUGAGUUUCUCCCCAAGGGGUGCACUGAGAUUGUUCCCUUACUUUGGAAUGGGUCUCAAUAGCUGAAGGGCUUCUUCCUGUUCUUUCGCUUCAUUAAAAAAUUUUCAAUUUCCC